This 768-nucleotide ribosomal RNA is filed under the name Triticum aestivum (bread wheat). Its description in RNAcentral is "partial small subunit ribosomal RNA". Lineage: Eukaryota; Viridiplantae; Streptophyta; Magnoliopsida; Poales; Poaceae. The record is from RNAcentral.
AUGCAGGCCAGGAAAAAUGUGCAGAAGACAGUGCGGGAUACGUUGGCAGAGAGGUUAGGUACACCAGGGAAGAAACAUGGCGACCUCCUUGACGUAAUUGUCGAGGAACUGCAGGGUGAAGAGCCAUUAAUAAGUGAGGAUUUUGCUAUUGAUAUGGUCUCGGUGUUGUUGUUCUCCAGCGUCUUCACGCUAUCAGGAACAAUCGCUGUAGCAUUCAAGUCACUCCAUGACAACCCAGACGUUCUCCGGUCCCUGGAGAAGGAGAACCGAACUAUGCUCAAGGAUCGAAAGGGUGGGUGCUCCGGGCUCACCUGGGAGGAGUACAAGUCAUUGACAUUCACUAAUCAGGUGACCAAUGAGAUUAUUCGAAUAAGCAAUGCCGUAGUUGGAGUAUUUAGGAAAACUCUUACAGAUGUACAAGUCAACGGCUAUACAAUUCCAGCCGGAUGGCAGGUCAUAGUCAACCCCAUGGCAGUUCAUUUGAACGAAGAAUUGUUCGAAGAUCCACUCAAAUUUAACCCAUGGAGGUGGAUGGAUGAGUCAAAGCGCAGUGCAAUGCUGAAGAAUUUCUUGCCAUUUGGGGCAGGAAUCAGGGUUUGUCCUGCGGGAGAUUUUGUCAAGCUGUUUGUAACACUUACCCUCCAUAUUUUGGUGACGGAGUAUAGAUGGGAAGAAAUGAAAGGAACUGACGAAUUCCGAAGCUCGGAUGUUAUGUUCCCGCAGGGCUAUCACAUUCGACUUCGACCCAAGGACGAUCAAAUGAACUGA